GGUAAAAUGGCUGAAGUUUAGGCGAUAAAUUGUAAAUUUAUUUAUGAAUAAAAUUCUUUUACCA
RNAcentral lists this transfer RNA (64 nucleotides) under Ixodes woyliei. RNAcentral describes it as "tRNA-Tyr". It matches the Rfam family "tRNA". Rfam says of the family: Transfer RNA (tRNA) molecules are approximately 80 nucleotides in length. Lineage: Eukaryota; Metazoa; Arthropoda; Arachnida; Ixodida; Ixodidae. The record is from RNAcentral.